GGAAGGGUACAGCUCAGUGAUAGAGCGUGUACUUAGCAUGCACGAGGUCCUGGGUUCAAUCCCCAGCACCUCCA
Molecule: non-coding RNA, 74 nt
Organism: Camelus ferus (Wild Bactrian camel)
Lineage: Eukaryota; Metazoa; Chordata; Mammalia; Artiodactyla; Camelidae
Source: Rfam